GAUGUCUAGUAGCAUGUGGUGACAAUCCAGCAGAAUAGAAUAAAUAGAACCUCUAGAUGUAGUUACCGUAUGAUUCAGUUCCUCUAUCGUGAGUCCUGACAAGAUAAAGAUUAUGAAAGCUCAUCAAAUCCCAACAUCCGUCAUAUGAAAGAUUCGAUUAGCUCAAGUCCAAAUCAUAAUAUUGAUAGAAAUUUUUUUUCAUCAAUCAUCUUGUUGUGGCUAUAGACUUAAAGAUUCAACUUCUCAAAUUUUAUAGGACUAUUUAUCUAUUA
This 272-nucleotide long non-coding RNA is filed under the name Elaeis guineensis (African oil palm). Its description in RNAcentral is "long non-coding RNA (EGUI_LNC007390)". The record is from RNAcentral. Lineage: Eukaryota; Viridiplantae; Streptophyta; Magnoliopsida; Arecales; Arecaceae.